GAUGAAGAACGCAGCGAAAUGCGAUAAGUAAUGUGAAUUGCAGAAUUCAGUGAAUCAUCGAGUCUUUGAACGCACAUUGCGCCCCCUGGUAUUCCGGGGGGCAUGCCUGUCCGAGCGUCAUUGCUGCCCUCAAGCACGGCUUGUGUGUUGGGCCGCCGUCCCCGGUUUCCCCCGGGGACGGGCCCGAAAGGCAGCGGCGGCACCGCGUCCGAUCCUCGAGCGUAUGGGGCUUUGUCACCCGCUCGGUAGGCCCGGCCGGCGCCAGCCGACACCCAACUUUAUUUCUAAGGUUGACCUCGGAUCAGGUAGGGAUACCCGCUGAACUUAAGCAUAUCAAUAAGCGGAGGA
This 348-nucleotide unclassified non-coding RNA is filed under the name soil metagenome. Its description in RNAcentral is "partial contains 5.8S ribosomal RNA, internal transcribed spacer 2, and large subunit ribosomal RNA". The stretch from base 1 to 120 matches the Rfam family "5.8S ribosomal RNA", at positions 35 to 154 of the family's 154-position model. The record is from RNAcentral.